UACGAAGGGUGCAAACGUUGCUCGGAAUUAUUGGGCGUAAAGCGCACGUAGGCGGUUCGUUAAGUCGGAUGUGAAAGCCCUCGGCUCAACUGAGGAAGUGCACCCGAAACUGGCGAGCUUGAGUACGAAAGAGGAUCGCGGAAUUCCCGGUGUAGAGGUGAAAUUCGUAGAUAUCGGGGAGGAACACCGGGUGGCGAAGGCGGCGAUCUGGGUCGAUACUGACGCGUGAGGUGCGAAAAGCGUGGGGGAGCAAACAGG
RNAcentral lists this ribosomal RNA (258 nucleotides) under uncultured bacterium. Its description in RNAcentral is "partial 16S ribosomal RNA". It matches the Rfam family "Bacterial small subunit ribosomal RNA", at positions 524 to 776 of the family's 1533-position model. The record is from RNAcentral.